Poeciliopsis prolifica (blackstripe livebearer) is the source of this 2941-nucleotide long non-coding RNA. RefSeq lists it as uncharacterized. Lineage: Eukaryota; Metazoa; Chordata; Actinopteri; Cyprinodontiformes; Poeciliidae. The transcript has 3 exons. The record is from RefSeq and is a predicted model, not a curated record.
CGGAUUUAUAAGAAGCACCGAGCCUGGGCAGCGGUUUGGCAGGAGACCUCCUGAGAAGAACAUGUAACCCACAAAAUAUAGCCAGUGACCAAGGCUGCUCACACCUUUGCUUCUUGUGAGAAAUAAAGAAGAUGAUGGUCUUAAAAUGGUUUUACUAGAAGAAACUCCCCCCGUUCAUGGAAUAUACCAGUUGUGUUUCUGUGAGGCCUUACUCUGCCAUUCUGAUAAAUCCAGAGGGUUUUUACCACUGAUCUUUGGGGAGACAAAGCAGGGUGCAGGUGCCAGUACGUGAUUGGUGGAUCCCGAAGAUCAGAGGCAAUGAAUUGGUGGCCUGACCAGAGAUGAUGUAAAAAAAAAACCCGGCUGUGGAUUUCCUGCCACCCUUCUUCUGCUCAUCCCAGCCAGGUUGGACAAGGUGUGUUUCCAUUACAAAAGUGCACAAAACUUUGUUGACAUUCCACUAAUGUCUAGAAAACACAAUUUUGCAACUGCAAUGUUUCCAUUGAAUAAAAAACACAACUGAAAUCACACAGGAAUAAGUUUGUCCACACGAUAAUUCAUUAAAAACAUGCAGUGCCAGGAUCCUCCAACUCCUUCCUGUCACCUUCUUCUUUGUGGUUUGAGCCAGUGGCAACAUCUGGUUGAGAGCGGACGUUUUCUGGAUAUACUUUUACUAAAGUUUGCUGAGAUAACGAGUGAAUCUUGAGCAACCAAACUCUAUUUUGUACCAAAAUUAUGAGACGAUUGGUGUUAACUUGAUUCCAUCUUUCAAAUGUAUGCACAACUGCAUGCAGUGCCUUGCAUUUGAAAGGUAGAAUCAGGUUUAACACCGAUCAUCUUAUGAUCUCGAGAAAAGCAUCAGGAAAACGUAAAUGCGGAAAAAGUCUCUUGGCUUUUAUACAACUCUUCUAAAAAGGCCAGAAGUUAUGAAUUAGGAGUGAAAUCUGAACUGUAAACAGAUUCCAGAGCUACUUUGAACCUCUUGGCUCGUUCUUUAAAUAAUGUUGUCUUUAGUUAGUCUGAUCAGCCUCAUCUCGGUGAGUUUGUAGUCAUGUUCUCUGUCCAUUUUCUGCUCAUUAGAUGUUUAACCCAUUGCUACAACUAGUGUCGUAGCAAAUACAUGUUAUUUUUUUAAAUUUAAACCUGAUUUGAAGUUCUCAACAGCUUUAUCGCUGACGCCCGACGGUGUUCCUCGAUCUACAUGAUGCUGCUCUUUCUCUGAUGCUCUCCAACAAACCUUUGAGGCCUUUACAGAACAGAUGGAUUUAUAACUUGUGCUAUAACGUGACAAUGUGUAAAAAAAAAAAAAAGUCCAAGUGCAUUGAAUAUUUUUGCAGGACAUCUUGUAUUAGCGCCGUUAGCGAAGGAUUUUUGAACUAUUUCAAGAGUUAAAGACUCGAGGCGAUGUAAUAAUUAGGCGACUAGCGCUUGGACGCCAAGAUUCCCAACAAAUGUUUCUGCAGGAUUUAAUUUGCUGUUUCUUUUGCACUCAGAUCCAAAUGUUGUGUGAAAACCAAACUGACCCUAUGUGUAUCAGGUAUAAGUUACAGGGGACUGACAUUACAAGCCGGAGUGCAGAGUUAAAGACGGACUGUUUAAUGACUGGGACCUCUUACCUUAAUGUCAGAUGUCACUGUUGACUGAUGCAAGCAUCGACUUUGGCCUGAAAAUAACAUUUAAAUAAAGCAAUAAAGAAACAUAAGUAUUUUCUCAGUCAUCUAGUGCUAAAGAUUAGCUGACAAACAUUUGCAAAAAUAAUAAACAGGAUAAUUGAUGGCUGAUGUGACAGAAAUAGAGCUAAAAAAAUGUUUCUGAGUCUUGCGUAACGUAGCUGCAUGAAACAGAAAGAGGUCACCUUUCUCCAGGAAGAGCUGACUUGGUCUGCUGCUGCUCUUGUUCCUGUCUGCAGGAAAAAGACAAUUUAGUUACUUAAAAUAAUGGUGGAAAUUUCUUUCUUUCUUUUUUAGGGAAAAAGGGUUUCUUACCUCAACUUUUGUGCUUUUAGUUUCUCUUCAUCAUACCUAAAUUAGAUGAAAUAGUGUUUGUAAUAUGCUGCUUCAUUCCCACUUGUAGCAGCAAUAUGCUACAAACAUGUCUUUAUAAGAAGACACAUAAUGGCUACACCGAAUGCUGGCUGCAGUGACUUUUACAGAGCUGUCAUAGGUAUCCUCAUGUUUGAUAGAUACAAAGGAAAACAAUAAGUUGGGCCAAAAUCCAUGUCUGAGUUGCUCAUUAAAAAUGAAGCAGGUCAUCAAAAACCAGAACGCUCCAUGUUUCCAAUACUGGUGCUGCUCUGGUUUGGAAAACACUGAACUUCUCAGGUUUCCUGAGACGUGCAGAAGCUGUAACUGUUCCUUUAAAUUGGAUUUUUUUUUUUUUACAGCUGCUUUACUAAGAAAUAUAUUUCUUCUUAAAUUGAAGAAAAAAACAUUGUAUUUCAAUUUGUGAGGCACAAAAGAAUGGGAAAGUCAAGUUAUUGAAUCAAUUUGAAAUAUAGUUGAUAUUUUUAAGAUUUUCCAGAAAGGUUUUUAACAUUUUAAAUAUCUGAAGAUUAUAAUUUGCUUUGCAGAUAUUGUGAGACAAUAAAUAAUGUAUAGAAAAAACAAAACUUUUCUUGUCAAUGAUUAAAGGAAGUGUAUUUUGUAAUAUAAUUUGGUGUAUUUUAGGGUCUCUUUGUUUGUUUGUUCACUAAUGUUCUUCUUUCUAUACAGUUAUAUUCAAUAUAUUUGAAUAUUUGUCCCAAUAUAUUUGGUUGGUCAGAUUAAAGGUGCCUUAUGACAAUAACAACUUUCAAGGAAGUAUUAAAAAUAUUUUUCUUUGAACCCAAAUUUCUGUUAUUUUCUUGGUCUGAUGUCAUAUUUUAAUUCUAAAUGUCAUGUUUCCAUUAACUGUAAGCAGAAAACCGUUAUAAUUAACAGAAAUAAAUGCUUUCAAACAUCAA